AACGAACGCUGGCGGCAUGCCUAACACAUGCAAGUCGAACGAGACCUUCGGGUCUAGUGGCGCACGGGUGCGUAACGCGGGGGAACCUGCCCUUAGGUUCGGAAUAACUCCCCGAAAGGGGUGCUAAUACCGGAUAAUGUCUUCGGACCAAAGAUUUAUCGCCUUUGGAUGGGCCCGCGUUGGAUUAGCUAGUUGGUAGGGUAAAAGCCUACCAAGGCGACGAUCCAUAGCUGGUCUGAGAGGAUGAGCAGCCACACUGGGACUGAGACACGGCCCAGACUCCUACGGGAGGCAGCAGUGGGGAAUAUUGGAAAAUGGGCGAAAGCCUGAUCCAGCAAUGCCGCGUGAGUGAUGAAGGCCUUAGGGUUGUAAAGCUCUUUUACCCGGGAUGAUAAUGACAGUACCGGGAGAAUAAGCUCCGGCUAACUCCGUG
Molecule: ribosomal RNA, 433 nt
Filed under: uncultured bacterium
Lineage: Bacteria
Description: partial 16S ribosomal RNA
Rfam family: Bacterial small subunit ribosomal RNA
Source: RNAcentral